Molecule: ribosomal RNA, 493 nt
Filed under: Entelexis litoralis
Lineage: Eukaryota; Fungi; Ascomycota; Dipodascomycetes; Dipodascales; Trichomonascaceae
Description: Starmerella litoralis partial 26S large subunit ribosomal RNA
Rfam family: Eukaryotic large subunit ribosomal RNA
Source: RNAcentral
AAGCAUAUCAAUAAGCGGAGGAAAAGAAACCAACAGGGAUUGCCUCAGUAAUGGCGAAUGAACAGGCAAAAGCUCAGAUUUGAAACCCUCGGGAUUGUAGUCUGAAGAUCUGGAUUUGGACGCUGACCAAGUCUCCUGGAACGGAGCGCCAUGGAGGGUGACAGCCCCGUAGCAGCACCGUAGUAAAUCCGGAUCAACGAGUCGAGUUGUUUGGGAAUGCAGCUCUAAGUGGGUGGUAUGCUCCAUCUAAGGCUAAAUAUUGGCGAGAGACCGAUAGCGAACAAGUACUGUGAAGGAAAGAUGAAAAGAACUUUGAAAAGAGAGUGAAAUAGUACGUGAAAUUGUUGAAAUGGAAGGCAAUGAGGCGCGAUUGACGCGGACGCGCGGGGGCAGGACAAAAGCGCAGGCCGCUUCGGCAUUGCCUGCGUGCAUACUGCCACCUGGGCUACCGUGUCUAACAACGCCUUAUUGCACCCGUCUUGAAACACGGACC